UCCAGCUUAUCGCUGGCGGUCUCCUGAGAGUGCACCUUUCGGUUAGCAACACAGGACAAGGGUUGCGCUCGUUGCGGGACUUAACCCAACAUCUCACGACACGAGCUGACGACAGCCAUGCAGCACCUCGACUACGCGUCCCUUGCGGGAAGGCUCCUGUUUCCAAGAACUUUCGGUAGCCGUUCGAGCCCAGGUAAGGUUCUUCGCGUUGCGUCGAAUUGAACCACAUGCUCCACCGCUUGUGCGGGCCCCCGUCAAUUCCUUCGAGUUUCAGCCUUGCGACCGUACUCCCCAGGCGGCAUACUUAACGCGUUAGCUCCGGCACGGAUCAACUGAAUGACCCACACCAAGUAUGCAUCGUUUAGGGCGUGGACUAC
RNAcentral lists this unclassified non-coding RNA (377 nucleotides) under uncultured Bryobacterales bacterium. RNAcentral's name for it is "contains 16S-23S intergenic spacer region". Lineage: Bacteria; Pseudomonadati; Acidobacteriota; Terriglobia; Bryobacterales. The record is from RNAcentral.